This 630-nucleotide ribosomal RNA is filed under the name uncultured bacterium. Its description in RNAcentral is "bacterial SSU rRNA". It matches the Rfam family "Bacterial small subunit ribosomal RNA", at positions 97 to 743 of the family's 1533-position model. The record is from RNAcentral.
GGCGGACGGGUGAGUAACACGUGAGCAACCUGCCUUUCAGAGGGGGAUAACGUUUGGAAACGGACGCUAAUACCGCAUAACAUCGAGAGAUGGCAUCAUUUUCCUAUCAAAGGAGCAAUCCGCUGAAAGAUGGGCUCGCGCCCGAUUAGAUAGUUGGUGAGGUAACGGCCCACCAAGUCUGCGAUCGGUAGCCGGACUGAGAGGUUGAUCGGCCACAUUGGGACUGAGACACGGCCCAGACUCCUACGGGAGGCAGCAGUGGGGAGUAUUGCACAAUGGGGGAAACCCUGAUGCAGCGACGCCGCGUGAGUGAAGACGGUCUUCGGAUUGUAAAGCUCUGUUGUGGGGGACGAUAAUGACGGUACCCCACUAGAAAGCCACGGCUAACUACGUGCCAGCAGCCGCGGUAAUACGUAGGUGGCGAGCGUUGUCCGGAAUUACUGGGUGUAAAGGGAGCGCAGGCGGGAAGCCAAGUUAGAUGUGAAAUACCGCAGCUCAACUGCGGGGCUGCAUCUAAAACUGGUUUUCUUGAGUGAAGUAGAGGUAGGCGGAAUUCCUAGUGUAGCGGUGAAAUGCGUAGAUAUUAGGAGGAACACCAGUGGCGAAGGCGGCCUACUGGGCUUUAACUGA